ACACAGCCACCCCACCCCCCUCUGCAGGAGACCCUCCAACACCAGCAGAUGCUCCAUCCUGGCUGGAGGAGGUGUCCUCCUCACUCUUCCCCCUCAGGAGAACAGGCUAGACCUUGGAGAGACCUUUUUAAUCUCAAGGGUUGAAACCAAAUGGCCUCAGGAAUUAACCUGGGACACCCAGACCAUGUACACAUUUGCCUUGUCUCCUGGAGGACCUUAGCCAAGCAGAAGAGAAAGGGGUUUUGGACCCUAGAGAACCAGCCUAUCACCAUGAAAAGGAAUGCAGCGCUGAUAUGCGAAUUCACAACAUGUAAGAACCUUGAAAACUUUACGCUGAGUGAAAGGAUGAAGACACAGAAGACCUGUGUGAUUUCAUUUCUAUGAAAUGUCCGGAACAGCAGCGGGAUCUUCGUUCCCCGACCUGGGAUCAAACCCAUGCCCAC
Molecule: long non-coding RNA, 443 nt
Organism: Aethalodelphis obliquidens (Pacific white-sided dolphin)
Lineage: Eukaryota; Metazoa; Chordata; Mammalia; Artiodactyla; Delphinidae
Exons: 3
Source: RefSeq, a predicted model, not a curated record